UAAAGUGGCGCACGGGUGAGUAACACGUGGAUCAUCUACCUUUUAAUGGGGAAUACCUCUGGGAAACCGGAGACAAUACCGCAUAAGCCUGUAAAGGGAAAGCAGCAAUGCGCUGAAAGAGGAGUCCGCGGCCGAUUAGCUAGUUGGCGGGGUAAUGGCCCACCAAGGCGAAGAUCGGUAGCCGGCCUGAGAGGGCACACGGCCACACUGGCACUGAAACACGGGCCAG
This 229-nucleotide ribosomal RNA is filed under the name uncultured bacterium. RNAcentral describes it as "partial 16S ribosomal RNA". It matches the Rfam family "Bacterial small subunit ribosomal RNA", at positions 91 to 334 of the family's 1533-position model. The record is from RNAcentral.